CCUGAGUUCUUCUGGAGAGUGGCAGGUGGCAUUUCCUGCAGGUGAGUGUUGCCCAAAUGAAGCAGCUGCUGAAACUGGGGUUGGUUUUGUGGCCCAGAGCUGCACAGAGGCCUCAGUGCCUCCCUCUCAGUGCCAGCAAUGCUCCUUGAUGUUUCUGUGUGUCCCAGCUGCGAGGGGCAGGACGAGGCCAGGAGUCCCCGAAAGGCAUCCAGCACCUCUUGUCCUUGGGCCCUCGGGGCAGGGGCUGUGCCUGCAGCGUCCUGCCCGUGCCGAGCACACGGCCCGGGAUGGGCGCUGGGUGCCCGGCCGGCGCUGGCACGGACACGGCUCAAGGGCUGCCCGUGGCUCCCGGGCCAGGGGCUGCUCUGAGCAGGCUCCUGGAGAUGCUUCAGCCUGGAUACAGGCCACUGACAGCCCAAAAGCAGCCCAAGGAGCAGCUGGCGUGUCCUGGUGAUGGCGGCACGGGCUGCGUGCAGAGGGGCUCAGACAGCAAUUCCUGGUUCCAGCCUCCCAGAGCUCCCAGGCAGCUGCCAGCUAUUAAAUGCCAACUGACAGCCUGCAGAGAUGCCUUCAAAUCAAAGGUUCAGGUGGGAUGAAGUUUUGUUUGGACGAAGGUGGGAGUUUCCAGGGAGCCAGCUGGAAGUGCAGAAGGGAUGGAAAGCUUUCCCAGGUACUUCCCAGUGGCACUGCUCAGACACCAGAGCUCCAACUGCAGCAGGUGAGUCCUGGAGUGCUGGAUCAGCAUGGCCACAAUGGCCAGGGAGGUGAGUGAGCACUGGGCAAGGCAGUGAGCCUGCACCUCAACACCA
Molecule: long non-coding RNA, 809 nt
Organism: Oenanthe melanoleuca
Lineage: Eukaryota; Metazoa; Chordata; Aves; Passeriformes; Muscicapidae
Exons: 3
Source: RefSeq, a predicted model, not a curated record